Molecule: long non-coding RNA, 3046 nt
Organism: Phlebotomus argentipes
Lineage: Eukaryota; Metazoa; Arthropoda; Insecta; Diptera; Psychodidae
Exons: 8
Source: RefSeq, a predicted model, not a curated record
GUGAAGAAUUCUGCACAGUUCUACUUAGGAUAUUGUGUCAAACACUUUUGCUGUAUUUUCUGCUCAAUAGUGCCACAAAGCUAAAUCUUUAGCCUUUACCAUUCCAGUGACAAUGAAAGUCUUCUUGUGCUUUUUCGCUCUUUUCAUCGCGGUCGCUUUUGCCCAAGAUAACGAGCCUUGUCCAUCGUAUUGUGCAUCAAUUCGUAUACCCGUUUGCUGUACUUACGAAGAUGGCACGUCUCAAACCUUCUCCAACGAGUGUUUUUCUAAGGGUUACAACUGUGCGAAUGGCCUCAGUUGUGUCUUUCUCAACAAUGGCGUUUGUCAGACAAGCAAUUGAAAGAAGUUAAACACCAAUCACACAUCAGAACUUCAAAGAUGGAACUGAGUUUUAUCUCCUAACUUCAAUAUGAAAUAAAAUGAACUCAAGAAAAUACUGAAGAUUUUGUACAUUUUAUGAGAUUUUCCAGUUUUAUCUUCUUUCAUUUUUGCAGGUGACAAAAAAAAACUAUCUAAUCUUGGGAUUGAAUCAACAGUUUAUCAAGUUAUAUAGACACAAUAAACACAAAUAGCUUAGAAAAACAUAGAAAUAAAAGAUCAAAUAUAAUAUUCUCUUUACAUUUUAUUCUUAUUUGAAGAAGAUUUUCAUGUUAAGAUCUUCAAAUAUGGAUGAAAAGAGUCUCAUUCGGCGGCCGGGUGGAUUUGCGGCUGCGAAACGGGAUAAGGAAGGAUGGUGAAAAGAGGACCAUCACAUCCAUACGGCAGUGAAGAAGCGCAGUCUAAAAGCGAAUUCGUAAGUACAAUAAGAAGAACUUCAUUAGAGCAAAUAAGACAAGAAUUACCAGUCCUUUGCUUGCAGUUCUCGACUGAAGCGACGCAAGCAUUGCUGUAAGUCUUCCUCGUUCCAUCAGCGUAAACACAGCAAACUGGCUUCAUAAUCAUCGUGCAAAACUGAUUGCAAAUCGGCUGAACGUCAGUCUCAUCUUGGCCUGAAGAGACAAAAGGGACACAAAUCAAAGGACUGACUAAAAGAACUUAGAUUAAAAUUUUACCGAGACACGCAGCAAUAAAAAGAGCGAUGAAACACACGAAGACUUUCAUUUUCACACAAAAACUGACGGUUUUUGCCUUUUCAUUUGGCACACGAAAGCCUGAGAAGUUUCACUGUUUGCACAGCUUUUAGCAUAGUUUUACCGAAAAACUGCCUGUAACCCAAUUCGACUCAGUAUUGGAACAUUGAUCGCUAAUGUGGUGCUGAAGCGACCUCCAUGACUUUAAGAUGGGAAAAAAGUUGUUGUCUCAUUAAACACAGAAGCCUCGUGGAUGCGCUUAAGGAAGUAUUUGGAUGAUUCAGUUUAAUUUCAGCAAAUUCCAGCAACUGUCCAAAUAAAAGUCACACGAAGAACUCAUUAAUUUUUCCGGGAACUCCGCAAAAGAAAACGACGCAGAAACAUCCGAUAUGAUGAAAAGAAAUAAAAGAAGGGAAACUCGGAUUAUUCAGUCAGUUUUCAAGUGAAAUUAUCCCAAAAUGAAGGUUUUAGUGUUGCUCUUUGCUCUUCUCGUCACUGUCUUUGGUAGGUCUCCUUGUUACCACUAAAUCUCCGAUCGUUUGUAGUCAGUUUGUGAUCUGUUCUUGCAGGACAAACUUACACGGAAGUCCAGGAUAAAUGCACGCAGAUUUGCACAUUCGAAUACAUUCCAAUUUGCUGCACCUAUUCUGAUGGAACCCGCGAAACUCAUGGCAAUAUUUGCGCUGCAGAAACCUACGAAUGCUUAGAGAAGAAAACUCGCACUGCCGUUGUUGAUGGUGAAUGCGAAGCCGACGUUCCAGAACCAACAGGUCCUGAUUGUAAUACAUACAGAUGCUCUAAUGACUAUGAUCCAGUUUGCUGCACUUAUCCUGACGGAAGCACCAUGACGCACACCAACGCUUGUCAGGCAGGACUUUACAAUUGUCUCGAGCAGAAAACACCAAAAACCACAACAGCCGGAGCGUGCAAAAGAUUCUACAUCAUGCCCUUCCCGAUGUAUCCGCCUCAAAUCUUCAUUCCGAUCGUCCGGAAACCAUCGCAACCCCAGGAAUAAGAGCAUGACCGAUAAGAAAGUCUACACAACAAUGAGCACGACUUCCUCUUGAUAAAAUAUUCCGCAGAAAUUGUUGCACAAUGCAAACUAUUCCCUCAAUAAAUGCAUAUUAAUUAAUAAAACUGCGCACUGCUGUUUUCGACCUACCUUCAGAUACUCUGCCAUUGUCUUUUCUUCUUCACGUGCUCCACUUGUUUAAACAUUUUGUGCUCUUCGUGAGAAUCUUCCACGUUUCAGGUGAAAAUAGUUAAAAAGCACUAAAUCGUGCCAUUCCAAAGUCAGUUCCUCAGUGACAAUGAAACUUUUCGUGUGCUUUUUCGCUUUAUUCGUCGCGGCCGCUUUUGGCGAUGACAACGUGCCGUGUCCUUCGGUUUGUCCAGACAAUUAUUAUCCGGUUUGCUGCACUUACAAAGAUGGAACUUAUAGAACAUUUGGAAACACCUGCGAACUUAGGGCCUACAAUUGCGAGAAGAAUAUUAGAUGCGCUUCUGUAAGUGAAGAAGGUGUGGAAUGUGACGAUGUAGUUCUUGGCCCUUGUGGACUUUCCAUGUGCGCGAUGGUCAUGGAUCCAGUUUGCUGUUCUCAUGCUGAUGGUUCUUCGACUACCUACAAUAGCGUCUGCCUUGCUCAAACUGCUCAGGAAUGCGGAGACGAACGUUGCUACAAUUUGGUCAGAGGCGCGUGCGCUAAGUGAACAACGAAUUCAGUCUUUUACUGAAUUUGUGCUUUGACGCCAAUAUGAAAUAAAAGUAAUCAUGAAAAUACCAAAGAUCUUUCUCACUUUAUCAAAAGUAUUCCUCAAAUCAAAAUAUGCACCACAAAGACUUCCUUCCAAUCAUCACAACAACAAUAAACACAACCAAAGUUUCUGAUAAAAUAUCUCAACAAUUUCUGUAAAAUGCAAAUUAUUCCCUCAAUAAAUACAGAUGUAAAAAAGACGACGCAGUUUAACUUUUGAUGU